CACAGACCUUUCUUUGAGGUGUGAGUGUCAUUAGUCACCUUUGAAAAACUGAGUGUUUGAAAUAUUUGUUUUCAUGGCUCCACCUUGUUUGUUGUCAUGCUUUUGUUUGUGAUUCUUUGGUGAAAGAGAAACCACAGGUCAGAACGAGCUGCUGAAAACACACAUUCACAUUUAGAUACUGAGGAUUUUUAUUCUUGAAAAAAAGACCAUCUUAUGGAUAUUUCUCACACUUUUAAAGUGGAAAUGUUCUCUGUAACAUCUGCAUCUCUCUGCUGGACUUUACUUUUUGCUUACCUCCUCUGUGUCUCUGCAGACCAGAAAAACAUCAAAGCAGUGGUUGGACAGAUGGUCACUCUGCCAUGUCAAGCUCCAAAAAACAACAAGUCCAUCAUUGCUGCAGAGUGGAGCAGAAAUGAUCUGGGGGAUAAAUAUUUACUUUUGUACUGGAAAGAGCAGUUUGAUCCAACCAAACAGCAUCCAUCUUUCAAGAACCGGGUUGAUCUGCAGGACAUACAGAUGAAGGAUGGAGACGUGUCUUUGAUUCUGAAGGAAGUGACGACUGCGGACAGUGGAACAUACGAGUGUCGUGUUGUACAGAGAGGAACAAAUAUGGAUGAUGAAACCAUCAGCACCACCUACCUUAGAGUCGUUGCUCCAGGUCAAACAAGAAGACGCAGAGAGGCUGUUUCUGAUGGAGUGAUAAUUGGUCAGGGGGUUUAUAUUGCAGCUGUUUUUGUUGUUGGCUUGUUUAUCUUUUACAUAUGCUAUAGAAGAAUGAACCACAGGAUAAACUGAUGUUCUGAGGACAGACAGAAAUUAGCAGUGUGGAUAAUAAUGGGUCUUUGGUGGUGGCAAUAGUUACCACAGAUAAAGUUAAACAGUAAGUCUGUGUUAUAAAUUAGCAGAAAUGGGUACUCUCCCCAAAAUGCUAUGUAUAAUUUAUAAUUCAUAUAUUUUCUUUAAGCAUUUCUGACAAAAAUACUUUUUAAAUGUAUAUUUAAUUGUCACAUAGCGUCAUUGUUUCUAAUAAGAUUUUAUGUUGUAGAUCAUAUAUUUUUUGUUCAAUUUAAUUCAAUUUAGUGUUUUUAGAUCAAAAUCGUGACAACGGUUGCCUCAAGAUGCUUAUUACUGUAGGAUUGGGACCCUACAAUAAUACAAAGAAAAUCCCAACAAUCAUAUGACCCCCUGUGAGUAAGCAAUUGGUGACUGUGGGAAGGAGAAACUCACUUAACAGGAAGAAAUCUCCGUGUGAAGGCCUGUACACUCUGAUAUAGUGGUAGGCAGGGGAAGCAGCCAGACACAAAAAGGGUAAACAAUGAUAGUGAACAGACCAAACUGUUAGUGUCGGGUGCAUCAAUGAGAUGUGUAAUUACAUUUCCAGGAAGCUUCUCAACAAGUGAUUGUGUUAGUGAGUUGCAGUGUACUAUUUUACCAGAGUUUGCAGUUGCAGUGUAGAUUUAACACAUGAAUAUAAAUCCACAGUUACAUGGAAGACUCUCUUCUCUUCCUAUCUACAGGAUAGUGGAGAACUAACCCAUGUCCUGAACAACCUGUACAGGCGACUUCAAAUAAUAGUGAAGUAAAGAUGAGCAAGUCAAUGUGCUGUUAACAUGCUAACAAAAUAAACUGAACAUGCUAAACAACCUUUCUGCAUUAUAUCAGCAUGGUUUUGGCAUCACAUAACUCAGCUGUAACCUCUGUGUCUCUGUUCAGACCUGUGACUCUGAAAGUAUUUUAUGAAUGAAGGUGGAGUUUUGUAUGACUUUUUCAUGUUUUCAUGUUACAUAACAAACAUUUAGUUUCACAUUUUUUUAGUUUCUCUUUCAGUGUCACGAGAUUGGGUGGUGUAUCUGUGAACUUAACCACUUGGUCAGCAGUGCAGUUUUCACCACAGAGACAAAGAAGUGUUAAGCUGCCAUUGUAGCCUCGGCAGUGGUCACCAUCACACAGUUGCAGUCAGACACAUUUGUCUAUUUAAAGAAGCCAGACAGCUCAUCAAUCAAUCAACAAAAACAUUUAAUGCCUGAAUGAAUUCUCUGAAUGUUAAAAAUGUGAUCAGAGGCACCUCAAGAUGUCUGCAAGCCAACUGAAAGAUGAAUCUCUUCAGGAAGUCCUGGGUCUGCCCCAGGAGAACUUCCCCUAGUAAACACAGAAGGGUAACUGAUCACGGGCAGGGUGUAGGUGUUGAUAGCCUGGAUCUUGUUUUUCUUUUCAGUUGACUCCCAUUCACCUGUGGGAUCCCAGGUACUUGUAGCUGUCCUCUGUAUCUGCAAUGUUGCUUUCUGGUAGUUUGAUCCCCUCCAUUCUGACUACCUUCCCUCUCUUUGUUAUCUUCCAACUACAUUUCUCUGAACGACAUUCCUUUGUCAUUGCUGUAUAGCCUGGUAGUGUGGAUCAGUGAAUCGAUGUCUCGUUCACUCUUAGCAUACAGCUUGAUGUCAUCCAUGUACAUGAGGUGGCUGAUAACUGUUCCAUUCUGUAGUCGAUAUCCUUAGCCAUGUUGUCAGUGAUCUCACUGAGGGGGUUCAGGCCUAUGCAGAACAGCAGUAGGGACAGAGCAUCUCCUUGGUAAAUUCUGCACUUGAUGAUGACUUGUUCUAUGGGUUUGAAGUUGACCUCUAGUGCUGUUCACUACAUCAGUAGGGCUUUAGAGUGUGAUGUUGUGGCCAGGUUUUUAGGUUGAGGCGCCAUUUAAGCAGGCCAAACAAAGGGCAAAAGCAUACAGAUAAUAUCAGCCAUGGUCGGUAUUUGCUUUGUUGUUGGUUGUAAUGUUAGAUUGAAUGAUUGGGAAGAGAAUAAGCUGGAGAAUGGGAUCUCUUUUUAUCGUUUCCCCUCCUGAAAGCAACGUCAGGGAUCUCAUGUAUCAGAUAUUAACAAAUGAAGACGUCAGGCUUGGAUAGCAGAGGUGAGACGAACUGAUACCGAGUUCUCUACCAUCCGCAGAUUUCUGUUGGUGUGCUCAGACUUUUUGUUCCGGUAAGUUCUAAACAAAUUCAUAUUGCUCUUUAUGGGCUUUUAGUUUUAUUUUCAAUGUGCUGAGGUCAUAGAAAAAUAGAGCAAACAUCCUAAUGUGUGAUUCUGCAGAACUACAUUCUGUUUAUGGAGUAGCUUAUUAUUUAGCAUUAUUGCAGGUAAAUCAGCCUAUGAAAUGGAUGAAACAAAUCCAGACUGGGCACAUAGGGCAUAAUGUUAGACUUUAAGUGACACACAGUUCAUUUUUGAAUGUAUAAUCUCAAGCUGACUUACCUAUGGCUGAACAACAACCUCCUCACAAUGUGGAGGCUUAAAAACGGCCAAAUCUUGUACCCAAAAGUUUGUGAAUUAGAUGUGCGCCUCCAGGGAUUUAUAAUUCUGAAACUGAUUUGCCGUGUAUGCGUUGACUCUACAGACAAGGUACGUAAAGAUAUCAGGGUAGGACAAUGGCAGUAGGUCUUAAGGGUUUGUACUCCAGUGCCGUAUUUCAUACGGGUCCAUAUUAUCAGUGCACGCUAUUUUUUCCAAGUACCGUCCCUUCACAUCUGGGCGCAAUCGGUCUUGAUACAGUCCUUUGUCUUUUGAGCUGAUUUUAAGCAUGGUUCUAGUAAUCGUCCUUCCAACACAGUGUGUUUGUUUUGAUUCGUGGCCUGCUAAAAUGGUGCCAUACUCCCACAAUGCAUUGAGGCAUUAUGUCAACUGCAAGGCCCUAUAUUGAGUGAAGGCUCUUAGGGUCCUGUUGAUCUUGUACAGUUCAGGAUCCCGGUGUGGACCAUUAAGUUAUGAGUUUUCUUGUAGUCAGUUCAGGCAGUGCACAGGUUGGUCAGCCUGGUCUUGCAAUCUCGGGUGACUGCUCUGCACACACUUUUUUAUUUCAGUAACAAAAUGGAGUGAUCAGUGGCCCCGACAUCAUAUGUCACAACAAAGUGGAGCUCUCUCUCUCUCUCUCUAACCCUCGUUCUCUUUACUCCCUAAGUUUCUUCCCUGUCUCUCCUUUUCUCUGUGUGUAUGUUAUGUCUCUCUAUGUCACUGUCUCCUUGUUUCUGUCUGUUUGUCUUUCUUUGAUCUUUAUCUGCUGCGGGUGCUUAAGGCUCUACACCCUGGGGUUGAUUUACUGUUCUGUUUACUUGAUUUUUCUUGAUUUUUUUUCUUUGUGUAAAAGCUCAAAAAACUGUGUUUCAAAGACCUCUGAUUUUCUCCAGAGGAUGUUUUUUUGUGUAUGUUUUGUCUUUUUUAAUUUGGUUUUAAUAAGUUGAAUCUACAAGUGACAUGCCUGACCAAGUUUAUCAUUUUGGCUCUAGAUGUUUGAGCUGACAUCAAAGGGUGCAGACAGCACACACAGUCUUCAUCCUGACUGUAAUGUACACUAUGAUAGGGUUUCAUUUAAAAUCAACACGUGAGCAGCCCACAGCCAAUCUGUUAAUCUGUAAUUCUCACAACAUUUUUUUUCCUUUUUUAAAAAAAAAUUAAACUGAGACUUUUGCUGUAAAUGUCAUAAAUAACAGGAGAUGGCUGUGCAGGUAAAUUCAUUUUAUAAUCCACUUGAUUAUGGUGAUCUGGUUUAUAUACUGUUACAACAUUGAUCAUAGAUUAUAUCUAGUAAUUACUUUUAGGAUUAUAUCUAUAUAUAAUCUAGAUACUGUUACUGGAUAUAAUCAAAGAGCAGAGGUACCCAAAGAGUGUCUGCAACAGAGCCUUGAAAGUAAACGCCAUGAAAUACUGCCCUCUUCUGUUCACUGAGGAGGACUGAUACAGAAAUAUAAGAUACAGAAAUAAAGACCAAUAAAGAUUCAAGAGGCUUCAAGGGGAAGAGACAUGUAAUGACACUUUCAUGGUCACGGGACACUUUAACAUUGGGUGCACAUCUUGUUCAGACUUAAUUUGAAAAAAAAAAAAAAGUAUUAAAUUAUCUGCUGCACAAAGCAAAGCAUUCUCUGUAUAUAUUUAUUUAGCUGCAGCUGCCUUUGUAUAUAUUCUGUUGAUCUCUGAACAUGAACAUAUACUGUGUUUCUAAAUGAUGCAUUUAUCAACCACUCUAGUUAAACUUUAUAUCUUUUUUAUCUUGAAAAAAAAGUUUAAGAUUUAAUAAUCCCAAAGAUUUUUGACUGCACAUGUUAUUAAUAAAAAAUGAUGCAAAAUCUGUAAGGUUUACAGAGAUUAUGUACAAGCUGUUAUUUAUGAUCCCAAAGGGAUACAUAUCAGACUAAAGUUUGUAAAAUAGCAUUCAUAUGAAUGUCUCUAUGUAGAGGACACUGAACAGGAAGGAGGGGUUAUCGUCUGACACAAGAAAAGAUUUCUACUUGUCAGUAAAGUGUUGCUCUGAAUGUGCAGCAGUCAGGCUGUACUAAACUAUAGUGACAUCAUUUCUGUCUCUAGUAAGACGACCUGCCAGUUAUGUAUCUUUAAACUAAAUUUGAACCCUUUAGUUUUGCAGUUUCCUUCUCUCUGUUUCUUUUCACCUGCUGGUGUCUGAAUACUAGAAAGAUUAGGCUUGAUUGAUCACUACACUCACUUCUGUUGAAAAAUCUAAAUAAGUAUAAACCCUAUUAGCCAAGAAACAAGGUGCAUAAUAUAUAUAUGAGCAAAUAAAAAGACCAGCAAAAAACACAUACACACGGGUACGCACACACACAGGCACUCACGUGCUUGUGCAUACACACACAGACACAGAGUUUGCAGCACACCAUGGGGGUUUUAUGAUGGGGUCACUUCUAUAAAGCUGACUGUAACAAAUAAAGGAGUGGAAGAUCUGCAGAGGG
This is a long non-coding RNA of Oreochromis aureus, 5732 nucleotides long. The record is from Ensembl. Lineage: Eukaryota; Metazoa; Chordata; Actinopteri; Cichliformes; Cichlidae.